CAAUGACGCUUGCUUUCUUCCCUCUUUAUACCGAGCUCCUUCAGAACCUGAAGAAUGUCACACAAUAGACCUUCUCGGUAUGUGGUUCAGGGUCCCUGGAGUCCAGGGAAGUUCGUCAACAAAUGUAGUUAUGAUUGGAGACAUCGUCAUUUUUCAAGAUCAACUGCUGAAACCUAACCAAGGGAGCUGGUGUAUCACCAAAGUAUGGCUUCCACAUCUAAUAACUUUGAUCUCUUCAAAUAGAAACACCUCCCUUCUGCAGAUUCAACCAGAAAACAUGAGACAAGAGUUCUACUAGCUUUGUGCCACUAGAUUCUCCAAAACCGAACGACAACAAUUGGACAAGUAUUACACAAUAAUCUCAAUGAAUUUGAGAAUCAAGAACAGGCCAAGCAACAAACUGAAACCUUUUCAACGAUCUAUAAAGCAGAGGCAUAUAUCUGGUGGUAAAAUUUUCCCUCUGGUUGAAAUAGCUACUACCUAAAGCCUCAAGCUGGGAGUCCGUAAACAAAGAGAGAGUUUUGAAUUUAAAACACCAAUAACCGGGCAUUUGGUCUAGUGGUAUGAUUCUCGCUUUGGGUGCGAGAGGUCCCGAGUUCGAUUCUCGGAAUGCCCCCAUUGACUUUUUGUAAAACAUAUGCUCUAAAUGCAAGCUGGAAAUUUCUUAGAAAAUCAAUCUUGAUUUAUUCAUAGUUUUUUCACAGAUCUUGUUAAAACUACGGACCAAAACUUUAUCAUUCACUUCAGCAAGAGAAAAUAAAAAAACAGAAAUGGCCUUAAAGUUUGAUUAUUAACUGCAUAAGGUAAAGAAAAAUAACAUAAUAACAUACCGUUGUUUCACGUCCAAUUAGUAUAUUAGUCUUUUUAACCAGUAAACUUCAUACAGUUCGCCAAAUACAUCAAGAUUGAGCUGCAGAAAGAGCAAAAGAAUUAUGAAUACGCAUCUAACGAAAGAGCAAAGGGAAGCAAAUAUUUUCGUAAAGAAAAACAAAAUGCAAGUAGAAUGCUUUAACAAGAUAUAAAAACAGGGCAUUUGGGCUAGUGGUAUGAUUCUCGCUUAGGGUGGGAGAGGUCCCAAGUACAAUUCUCGGAAUGCCUCGUUCACUUCUUCAAAGUUUUUGUUCUAAAAACUAUUUCAAGAAAGGGGAACGAAACAAAAAGAAUGCUUUGACUGAAUAACGCCAAUAACCGGGCAUUUGGUCUAGUGGUAUGAUUCUCGCUUCGGGUGCGAGAGGUCCCGAGUUCGAUUCUCGGAAUGCCCCCAUUGACUUUUUUCUUAGUAAAUGUAUCCAACCCAAACUAAAAUAUGUAUGACGAAAGAAAAUUUUUCGGGCUCAAAUGCAAAACAUGCAUUUCAAACGCAGUUUCAGAAAAAGGAUUAGAAAUCAGGAACCAGCUUUUAGAUAGUGAAAACCCCAAAAAACAGCAAGGGAAAGCUUCCAGUUUGAGAGAGCAGCAAAUGAUUUUUUCAAUGGAUUCUUAUUGUGGUAUUAGUCAAUAACCAAGAAUAUGGUAUAGCAGCAUUAUCAAGUCAUAUAUUAAGAUCACAAGGAAUCAAACUACUUGAGAAACUAGGACAAGAGGACUAUUCUCUUCUAAUAAUAUUGCGCUGAAAUUUUUCCAUCCAGAGUACAUUGCAAGCAAGAAUUCCUCUUUAAAAAGAAAAUGCAAGGGAUCAUAUCAUUGGAAUUUCAGUUUAAAGAGAUCUUAUAGAAGAGAUCUAGGAACAUCCUAUUCAAACUAAAUCAUAUAGGAAAAGUCAACUAAGAGGAUGAGAUCACAAUAUGAUCAAAUAUAGUGAUCUUCCACGUUUUAACUAAGUUGUAUAAAAACAGGGCAUUUGGUCUAGUGGUAUGAUUCUCGCUUUGGGUGCGAGAGGCCCCGAGUUCGAUUCUCGGAAUGCCCCCAUUGCCUUUUUUUAAAACCAUAUGUUAUAAGUUUCAGUUCAGGGCAUCUGGUCUAGUGGUAUCAUUUUUCCAACCCAAAAUGAGAUAUGUAUGAACAAAGAAGUUCCUUAUUUUCUCUUUACUGCAAACCGUACAUUUCAAAUAACGAAAAUGCAAAUGAUCAUUUUAAUUGGAUUUGAAUCGAAACAGAUCUCAUAGAUUACACUAACGAAACUUCUUUAAACACUAAAAUAUUUCUUUAGUAGUCAACUAAAAGAACAGAUCUGAAUGUGACCAAAUCCUAAAUGGUUUAACAACAUUGCUUAACAAGAGGGCAUUUGGUCUAGUGGUAUGAUUCUCGCUUUGGGUGCGAGAGGUCCCGAGUUCGAUUCUCGGAAUGCCCCCAUUCUGUUUUUGUAAAAAAAAUAUUCUAAAUGCCAGCUAACACUUAAUCAAUAUUAAGUUACAAACAAUCCACUUUUACUGUUAAGCCCCGAAAGUCAACUGAUAGAACUAGAUCUAAAGCGUUAUUUCUUUCUUAAAUUAUCUUAACAAGAAAACAUUCUAAUGUCAUAGUCAAUUAUAAAAUCAAAAACAGUUUGAACUUACUGCAUGUUGCCAGCUUCAUCACGAAUAGAAUCCUUGAAAGGUAAAUCCUCAAAGAGUAAAUUUCCUGUCAUAACAGAGUGAAGCAUGAUGAAUCUCUUAGGAUUAAAUAAGAAAACAAUGCUUCAAUGGGAUAAAUCAACAUAGGGCAUUUGGUCUAGUGGUAUGAUUCUCGCUUUGGGUGCGAGAGGUCCCGAGUUCGAUUCUCGGAAUGCCCCUUUGACUUUUUUUUUUAAAGUAUGUGACCAAUAUUCAAGCAGAAAAUUAAAUCGAAAAUUAAGAUCUUCACUUAGUCCUAGUUCUGUCACAGAUCUUGAUCCAUCUAAGAACCAUAUAUUACCCAUUUAUUUCAGCAAGAGAAAUAAUUAAGUGCACAAUGCAAAGGACAAGAAGAACAUACCGCUCUUUCACAUCCAAAGUAAUAAAUCUUAACCAGUAAUCUUCACAUAGGAUCAAGUUUUGUAAGCAGCCCGAUCACAACGAAUGAGCUGGAGAACAAAAAGAAUCUUGAUUAUCUACUGGAAAGGCAACGGAGCAACAAAUCUUCGAAUGAAAAGAGAGAAUGCUAAUAGGAGGCAUUAACUACACAACAUAAUAAAAAUAGGGCAUUUGGUCUAGUGGUAUGAUUCUCGCUUUGGGUGCGAGAGGUCCCGAGUUCGAUUCUCGGAAUGCCCCAUUGACAUUUUGUAAAACAUCUGAAAGAUAGUAAAGAAAAUGGUGGAACACCAAAGUUUCGAUUUUACAUCCAAUGACUUGAUCUCUUCAAUCAGACAACACCUCCCCUUCUGCAGCUUCAACUAGGAAACAUUUCGUACUUCAGCCUCUUUUUCAAAAAAAGUCUAGAAGACCACAAAAAGUAUUUCAACCAGAUUUUGUAAACAACAGGGCAUUUGGUCUAGUGGUAUGAUUCUCGCUUAGGGUGCGAGAGGUCCCGAGUUCAAUUCUCGGAAUGCCCCAUUUAACUUUUUGUAAAACAAUGUUCUAAAUGCCAGCUAACAGUGUCAGUUCAUCAAUAUUAAAUUACAGACAAUCCAUUAAGCCCUGAAAGUCAACUAAUAGAACUAGAUCUAAAACAUAGUUUCUUUCUUAGAUUAUCUAAACAAAAAAGCAUUCUAUAUCAGAUUCAAAUAUAUAAGUUAAAGAAUUCGAACUUACUGCAUGUUGCCAGCUUCAUCACGAAUAGAAUCCUCAAAAGGUAAACAAACCCCCCAAGACUAAAUUUCCUGUAAUAACGGAGUGAAGCAUGAAUUCUCUUUUCCACAGGAUUACACAACAACAAAAUGCUUCAAUGGGGACAUUCAAAUACAGGGCAUUUGGUCUAGUGGUAUGAUUCUCGCUUUGGGUGCGAGAGGUCCCGAGUUCGAUUCUCGGAAUGCCCCAUUGAAUUUUUUAACGUAGUUGCUCUAAAUUCAAGCAGACAAUUGCCUCGGAAAUCAGAUCUCUAUUAAGUCCUAGUUCUAUCGCAGAUCUUGAUACAAGUAAAAACCAUAUAUUACCUUUCAGUUGCAGCAAGAGAAGUUAUUAAGUACUUAAUGCAAAGGAAAAGAAGAACUUACCGCUAUUUCACGUCCCAUCAAUAAAUCUUUUCAACCAGUACCCUUCAUAUAGAGAGGACCAUCAUGUACUGCAAGCAUCCAGAUUCACAAAGAAUGAGCUGGAGAAACACAAAAAGAAUUUCUAUCAAGUAUCUACCGAUAAAGCAAACGGAGCAACAAAUCUCCGAAUGAAAAGAGAGAAUGCUAAUAGGAGGCAUUAACUGAACAACAUAAUAAACACAGGGCAUUUGGUCUAGUGGUAUGAUUCUCGCUUUGGGUGCGAGAGGUCCCGAGUUCGAUUCUCGGAAUGCCCCUUUGGAUUUUUGCAACACAUAUGCUCUAAAUGCCAGCUAAGACUUUUUGCAUACAAUCUCUACUUGCUACCGGAUUUUUCACAGAUCACAUACAUCAUUUGAACAAUGUUGAUUUACUUAAAAGUAACUCCCCACCAACAUCGAUUCACAAACAAUCCACCAAAAAAUCAACUGAUAGGUCUCAGUAACAGCUUCAAGAUACAGAAAUAAAAUAGACUGAAUGUAAACCAAUUAUAUAAGUUUCCAGAUUCAUCAAAGCACGAGACCCUUCAAUAGGAAUUAGGACAAGCCUUGGGUGUAAAUUUACAAUGGAAAGUUCAUUCCUUUUUCAACAAAUCAUUUUAAACACCAAAAACAGAAUGCUUGAACCCAAUUACAUCGGCAACAAAGCAUUUAGGACAAGUUACGGAGGCCCUAGGUUCUAUUCAAAGAAUGCCCUUCAUUGAGUUUCAAGCAUAAGGAGGUCUAAUAGGCAGCUCAAAAUUAUAGGACACAGAGACAUUUCAGCCUUAAUUUUAACCUAGGAGAGGCGAUAACUAAGCAACAUACAUCUACAUUACAUUCUUAGCGAUAGGAAAAUACCUACAAAAGCAUUGAAGAGCAAAUACGUGCCCACCUAAGAAGAAGAAACGCAUAACGCGCCACUGAUUGAUUCUCGCUUUAAGCUGUAACGAUUCUCCAAACUCCGCGAAACCUCACGCCAAAGAAGAAAUUUAUCCAACAUUUCAGGUGGACACACUCUAAUCGCUAUAGGCGAAAGUUUUUGGUUUAGGACUUUUGUCGAACAACUGGUGGGCGGGUGCCUCGUGAAUCAGCAAAUCAACCGGACAACGAAUAAUACAAUGGAUACGCUAACAUCUGUUCGAAACCACGAGCGUGAAUCUUUCUAUAUAGCUGGUUUAACUAACCCGAAA
Molecule: long non-coding RNA, 5255 nt
Filed under: Arabidopsis lyrata
Lineage: Eukaryota; Viridiplantae; Streptophyta; Magnoliopsida; Brassicales; Brassicaceae
Description: long non-coding RNA (ALYR_LNC003097)
Rfam family: tRNA (bases 545-616)
Source: RNAcentral